Non-coding RNA from Vicia faba (fava bean), 279 nucleotides. NCBI's taxonomy places the organism in Eukaryota, Viridiplantae, Streptophyta, Magnoliopsida, Fabales, Fabaceae. The record is from the annotation of a GenBank genome assembly.
AUGUCUACCAGAAGAUCUCGUUCGAGACAAUCUGGUGUUUCCACUGAGAUCUCUGAUGAUCAAAUUAAUGAUCUCAUCACCAAGUUGCAACAACUUAUCCCUGAACUUGCAAGGCGUUCCAACAAGGUUUCAGCUGCUAAAGUAUUGCAAGAGACUUGCAAUUACAUCAAAAACUUGCAUAGAGAGGUUGGUGAUUUAAGUGACCGAUUAUCACAACUUUUGGACACUAUAGACCCUAACACUCCUCAAGCAGCUAUCAUUAGGAGCUUACUUAUGUGA